This 460-nucleotide ribosomal RNA is filed under the name uncultured bacterium. RNAcentral describes it as "partial 16S ribosomal RNA". It matches the Rfam family "Bacterial small subunit ribosomal RNA", at positions 338 to 795 of the family's 1533-position model. The record is from RNAcentral.
CCUACGGGAGGCAGCAGUGAGGAAUAUUGGUCAAUGGGCGCGAGCCUGAACCAGCCAAGUAGCGUGAAGGAUGACUGCCCUACGGGUUGUAAACUUCUUUUUUAAAGGAAUAAAGUGACGCUCGUGUGCGUUUUUGUAUGUACUUUAUGUAUAAGGAUCGGCUAACUCCGUUCCAUCAGCCGCGGUAAUACGGAGGAUCCGAGCGUUGCCCGGUUUUAUUGGGUUUAAAGGGUGCGUAGGUUGUUUUUUAAGUCAGCGGUGAAAGUUUGUGGCUCAACCAUAAAAUUGCCGUUGAAACUGGAAGACUUGAGUGUGUUUGAGGUAGGCGGAAUGCGAGGUGUAGCGGUGAAAUGCAUAGAUAUAACGAAGAACUCCGAUUGCGAAGGCAGCUUACUAAGCCAUAACUGACACUGAAGCACGAAAGCGUGGGGAUCAAACAGGAUUAGAUACCAUAGUAGUC